AUCCCUCUCGGCCUUUUGGCUAAGAUCAAGUGUAGUAUCUGUUCUUAUCAGUUUAAUAUCUGAUGUCCCCUGGACUAUAUAUUAAAUUGAUUUUUGGAAUAGGGAGAUGGAACAGGGGCUUGCUCCGUCCACUCCACGCAUCAACCUGGUAUUGCAGUUUAUCCGGGAAUGGUGCACCAUCC
This is a small nuclear RNA of Anoplopoma fimbria (sablefish), 182 nucleotides long. RefSeq annotates it as U2 spliceosomal RNA. The transcript has a single exon. The record is from RefSeq and is a predicted model, not a curated record. NCBI's taxonomy places the organism in Eukaryota, Metazoa, Chordata, Actinopteri, Perciformes, Anoplopomatidae.